UUUAUUCCAUUUACUAAGAUAAAAUAAAAAACGAGUUUCACUUGAUUAGUUUUAGCAAGUAGGAGAACUGUAAAUAAAUUAUUGAAUUUAAUAAAAUGUAUUAUCUUUAAAAAAAAAAAAAGCAUUAUCAAAUUUAACAAUUACCCAUGAGCACCAUCCUGUUCAUGUAAUCAUCCCUUUUUUUAGGCACCCCAUAAUCCAUCUCCAUCUUCAAGCUCUAAAAGCACCUUCUCCACAUCCCUGAACUUUCUCAUAACACCUCCACAUUCCAUGUCACAGCACUUCCCUCCAUCUCCAUCUCCAAGCUCCUUCCUCGAGCAAAUUAUUCUCACAACACCUUCAUGAAUUUGCUGGAACAUUUCAUAAACAAUGGUUUUGGCCCCUUACUAUAAAGCUAGAUCCCAAGAUAUGGUCACCUUGUGCUUGGAUUUGCAAGGAUGAAGAGAUACCACAGGGCCUUCAAGAAAGUCAUUUUCCAAAAGCUCCAUGUGAGUUUUGGGUGGGAAACACAUUCCAUAAUAUCUAAAUCCA
RNAcentral lists this long non-coding RNA (531 nucleotides) under Vigna radiata. RNAcentral describes it as "long non-coding RNA (VRAD_LNC017541)". Lineage: Eukaryota; Viridiplantae; Streptophyta; Magnoliopsida; Fabales; Fabaceae. The record is from RNAcentral.